RNAcentral lists this long non-coding RNA (1054 nucleotides) under Spirodela polyrhiza (greater duckweed). Its description in RNAcentral is "long non-coding RNA (SPOL_LNC002593)". The record is from RNAcentral. Lineage: Eukaryota; Viridiplantae; Streptophyta; Magnoliopsida; Alismatales; Araceae.
CCUGGUCCACGUACUGGAGGAUCUCGCCCAGGGAGUGCAGCCGCCCGCCUAGCUCCGUCAUCUGGGCCCUCAGCACGGAGUUCUCCGUCUCCACGGCCAGGCACUGCUGGGUGACCGCCUUUAGGUUGGUGAUGAUCUGGCCGUUCUCCUUCCGGAGUUGACCCACUUGGGCAGUCAGGUCAUCCAGAUGCUUCUGCUUCCUCUGCCGGGACCUCCUCGCCGAUUCCCUGUUGGAGAGUUUCCUCUUCUGCUUCCUCAUGUCGGUCGCCUGCAGCUGCAGGUCCUCGUCGGAGCUGGCCAGCAGAGUGGAGCCCGAGGACGUGCCACUCCCGCUGGAAGAAGCCAUGGCUAAUUGAAGGACGAUACCUAAGAGAGGUAGUAUGCGUAUUAUGUAUACAGAUAGAUAGAUUGAUAGAUAGAUAGAUAGAUAUAGAUAGUGGGUUUUAUUAUUUUUACGGAGGCUGCAGGACCCAGAAGGCCGGCCGGCGACUGGGGAGAGGGAUGCUCACGAGAAGACGUAGAACCAGUAGAGGAAGACGACGGAGAAGGACUGAACAAGAUGGGUCCUGCGCCUCAGAGUCGAAUUUAUCAUAAACCCGGAGAGGAGGAUCUCACUGACGAUUGGAGACAUCAAUCAGGGGCAUCAAAGGAGACCGGCUUUUUCAUGUGGAUGGGGAGGCAAGGCCGGAACCGAGACGGGGGAGAGAGGAGCAGCGGCGGCGGCGGCGGCGGAUCUCCGAUCAAAGCCCGCCGGGAAGAAGGGAAGAAAGGCAGAGAAAUGGCCGGCGAGGAGCUCCUUGUAGGAGGAGCAGGCGGCGCCGAUCCCGAAGGAGAGUUCCAACGCAGGAGGAAGCGGAAGAAGGGCUUCAGCACCGCCGCCCCCUGGAUCUGAAGGAACGGAGAGGAGAGAGGAACAGGGUGAGGGGAGGAUGGAGAAGCGGUUGAAGAAGAGGAGAGAGGGGAGUUGCAACUGAGCCAAGGGGCGAGUUUUAUAGAAAAACGGGGGCAUCUGCCCACGCAUGUCCCCGCACACCCAUGAGAGAGAGAGAGAGAG